AUUGAACGCUGGCGGCAUGCCUUACACAUGCAAGUCGAACGGUAACGGGCCUUCGGGUGCCGACGAGUGGCGCACGGGUGAGUAAUACAUCGGAACGUGCCCGAUCGUGGGGGAUAACGAGGCGAAAGCUUUGCUAAUACCGCAUACGAUCUACGGAUGAAAGCAGGGGACCGCAAGGCCUUGCGCGGACGGAGCGGCCGAUGGCAGAUUAGGUAGUUGGUGGGAUAAAAGCUUACCAAGCCGACGAUCUGUAGCUGGUCUGAGAGGAUGAUCAGCCACACUGGGACUGAGACACGGCCCAGACUCCUACGGGAGGCAGCAGUGGGGAAUUUUGGACAAUGGGCGCAAGCCUGAUCCAGCCAUGCCGCGUGCAGGAUGAAGGCCUUCGGGUUGUAAACUGCUUUUGUACGGAACGAAAAGCCUUCUUUUAAUACAGGAGGUUCAUGACGGUACCGUAAGAAUAAGCACCGGCUAACUACGUG
Molecule: ribosomal RNA, 482 nt
Filed under: uncultured bacterium
Lineage: Bacteria
Description: partial 16S ribosomal RNA
Rfam family: Bacterial small subunit ribosomal RNA
Source: RNAcentral